RNAcentral lists this ribosomal RNA (484 nucleotides) under Streptococcus parasanguinis. RNAcentral describes it as "bacterial SSU rRNA". It matches the Rfam family "Bacterial small subunit ribosomal RNA", at positions 28 to 495 of the family's 1533-position model. The record is from RNAcentral. Lineage: Bacteria; Bacillati; Bacillota; Bacilli; Lactobacillales; Streptococcaceae.
GAUGAACGCUGGCGGCGUGCCUAAUACAUGCAAGUAGAACGCUGAAGCUUGGUGCUUGCACCGAGUGGAAGAGUUGCGAACGGGUGAGUAACGCGUAGGUAACCUGCCUCUUAGCGGGGGAUAACUAUUGGAAACGAUAGCUAAUACCGCAUAAAAGUCGAUAUCGCAUGAUAUUGAUUUGAAAGGUGCAAAUGCAUCACUAAGAGAUGGACCUGCGUUGUAUUAGCUAGUUGGUGAGGUAACGGCUCACCAAGGCGACGAUACAUAGCCGACCUGAGAGGGUGAUCGGCCACACUGGGACUGAGACACGGCCCAGACUCCUACGGGAGGCAGCAGUAGGGAAUCUUCGGCAAUGGACGGAAGUCUGACCGAGCAACGCCGCGUGAGUGAAGAAGGUUUUCGGAUCGUAAAGCUCUGUUGUAAGAGAAGAACGAGUGUGAGAGUGGAAAGUUCACACUGUGACGGUAACUACCAGAAAGGGACG